GGCGGCCGCCAUGUUGAAUGUGGCUCCGCCCGGGGAGCUGCUGGAGUACGAGGGAGCCAAGAAGGGCUCCAAGGACCUCUGCCUCUUCUCUGAGCUCGUUCUUAGGCCCCUCUGCCGUCUGCACGCUCCUUUCCAGCCACCCGGCCUCCCGAUGCCGGCCUAGCACGUUCCUCGCGCCAGGCUUUUGCAUCUGCCCUUCCCACUGUCUUUCGUGUGCAAACGCCACAGGUCCUGCGCACCGCACCCCUCAUGGAAUAGCGUCGCCUCCUCUCUACCUUCACACACGCCCCGAAACUUGCCUCUCAUCCUGUGUCUCUAUAGAUUUUUGCACCAUCUGACCGACGGACCCCUACCCUUCCCUAGACCAUGUCACGAUUCCGUCGCAUCCUCUGCCAUUGUCCCUCGGAAUAUUCCUAGAUGGCAUUUAUCACUGUGGAUAGUUACCACUACUCAGCGUUUUGGCUAAGAUCAAGUGUUCCAUCAUCGUGGGUGGCUCAUACGUGUAAUCCCAGUACUUUGGAAGGUGGAGGCAAGAGGACUGCUUGAGGCCAGGAGUUUCAGAUCAGCCCAAGCAAUAUAGCAAGACCUCCAUCUCUACAAAAGAUUUUUAAAAAUUAGCCAGGUGGUGGCAGCAGACGCUUGUGCAGCUAUACGCAAGAUUAAGGCUGGGACUUCCUUGGCAAGAAGCAGGAGCUGCUGAAGUUGCUGGUCAACCUAUGGGUGAAGCUGUCCCAGCUGUGCAUCACCAAUGUCAGCAGUCCCGUCUUUUUGACACCAGGGACCAGUUUCGUGGAAGAUAAUUUUCCCAUGAAUGGGGGCAGGGGGAUGGUUUUGGGAUGAUUCAAGCACAUUACGCUUAUUGCGUACACCAUCUCUAUUAUUACAUUCUAAUAUAUGAUAAAAUAAUUCUACAACUCAUCAUGAUAUAGGAUCAAUGAGAGCCCUGAGCUUCUUUCCCUGCAACUAGAUAGUCGCAUCUGGGGCUGAUGGGAGACAGUGACAGAUCAUCAGGCAUUAGAUGCUCAUAAGGAGUGCACAACCGCCGGGCGUGGUGGCUCACGCCUGUAAUCCCAGCAUUUUGGGAGGCCAAGGCGGGUGGAUCACCUGAGGUCAGGAGUUUAAGACCAGCCUGGCCAACAUGGCAAAACCCUGUAUCUGUGAAAAAUACAAAAACUAACCAGGCGUGGUGACACAUGCCUGUAAUCCCAGCAACUCAGGAGACUGAGACAGGAGAAUCGCUUGAACUGGAGUGCAGUGGUGCAAUCAUAGCUCACUGCAGCCUUGAGCUCCUGGGCUCAAGUGAUCCUCCCACCUCAGCUUCCCAAAAUGCUGGGAUUACAAGCAUGCGUCACCACAGCAGGCCCAAUUAGAUAAGGUUUGAAGUAUGUCUACACCUGCAAGACCACCACCACAAUCGACAUAAUGAACAUCACCCGAUGCUCGUGUUCAUCAAAGUCUCUGCUCUCUCUUCCUAUGAUCACAGCAUGUCACUGUACACUCAUUUGUUUGCCUUCGUGCUUGUGAUGUCUUCCCCAUUAAACUGGGUGCCUGGUGAGGACACGGAACA
RNAcentral lists this long non-coding RNA (1567 nucleotides) under Homo sapiens (human). Its description in RNAcentral is "long non-coding RNA NONHSAT211603.1". Lineage: Eukaryota; Metazoa; Chordata; Mammalia; Primates; Hominidae. The record is from RNAcentral.